UUAUGGCCAUAGCAUAUUUAAACACCAGUUGUCAUAUGAUCACCACAGUUAAGCAACAUCAAGCCUGGUAAAUAGCUGGAUGGGUGACCGCUUAGGAAUAUUAAGUGUUGUAA
Non-coding RNA from Acanthosepion pharaonis, 113 nucleotides. The record is from the annotation of a GenBank genome assembly. NCBI's taxonomy places the organism in Eukaryota, Metazoa, Mollusca, Cephalopoda, Sepiida, Sepiidae.